UACGAAGGGGGCUAGCGUUGCUCGGAAUCACUGGGCGUAAAGGGUGCGUAGGCGGGUCUUUAAGUCAGGGGUGAAAUCCUGGAGCUCAACUCCAGAACUGCCUUUGAUACUGAGGAUCUUGAGUUCGGGAGAGGUGAGUGGAACUGCGAGUGUAGAGGUGAAAUUCGUAGAUAUUCGCAAGAACACCAGUGGCGAAGGCGGACUCACUGGCCCGAUACUGACGCUGAGGCACGAAAGCGUGGG
RNAcentral lists this ribosomal RNA (243 nucleotides) under uncultured bacterium. RNAcentral describes it as "partial 16S ribosomal RNA". It matches the Rfam family "Bacterial small subunit ribosomal RNA", at positions 524 to 765 of the family's 1533-position model. The record is from RNAcentral.